UCCCUGGUGGCUCAGUUGGUAGAGAAUCUGCCUGAAAUGUAGGAGACCUGAGUUCGAUCCCUGGCUUGGGAA
Molecule: non-coding RNA, 72 nt
Organism: Bos taurus (domestic cattle)
Lineage: Eukaryota; Metazoa; Chordata; Mammalia; Artiodactyla; Bovidae
Source: Rfam